GGAGGAUUGCUUGAGCCCCGGAGUUCGAGGCUGCAGUGAGCUAUGAUGACGCCACUGCACUCCAGCCUGAGUGACAGAGUAAGAUCGUGUCU
Propithecus coquereli (Coquerel's sifaka) is the source of this 92-nucleotide microRNA precursor. The record is from Ensembl. NCBI's taxonomy places the organism in Eukaryota, Metazoa, Chordata, Mammalia, Primates, Indriidae.